CUCCCGAUCAACCCUUCCAAAUAUGUAGAUUAAGACAAACCAAUGCUCUCUAGGAUCAGUGGAAGCAAGGGUCGGCUGAAGCAUGGGUCAGCAGCCGAUGUAUGGGUUUGCAGCUGAUCUUGGAUCGACGUGAUUAAGAUUUAUUGAUGUUUUCGGCUCAUACAAUAAGAUUUUCUAUCUGUAACAUUUAUUUUCAUCUUUCUCAUUCUCAUUUACACAUUUAAAUAAAGGUGGCAGCUGCUGACUCCUUUUAACUUAAAAAAAAAAAAAAAAAAAAAAAAAAAAAAAAAAAAAAANAAAAAAAAAAGUAAAA
Molecule: long non-coding RNA, 313 nt
Filed under: Elaeis guineensis (African oil palm)
Lineage: Eukaryota; Viridiplantae; Streptophyta; Magnoliopsida; Arecales; Arecaceae
Description: long non-coding RNA (EGUI_LNC039825)
Source: RNAcentral